This 71-nucleotide transfer RNA is filed under the name Ovis aries (sheep). It matches the Rfam family "tRNA". Rfam says of the family: Transfer RNA (tRNA) molecules are approximately 80 nucleotides in length. Lineage: Eukaryota; Metazoa; Chordata; Mammalia; Artiodactyla; Bovidae. The record is from Rfam by way of RNAcentral.
UCCCUGGGGCUCAGAUAGUAAAGAAUCUGCCUGCAAAGCAGGAGACCCAGGUUCAAUCCCUGGGUAGGGAA